GCUCAGCUGAAGGGUGCAUGGCCAGGCCCCAGCAGGAUGCUCAGAUUACGGAGGGGUCCCGCCCUGGUCAGUGAGGGAGCCAGUGAUUUACACAACAUUUAGUUACACAGC
Molecule: long non-coding RNA, 111 nt
Organism: Gavialis gangeticus (Gharial)
Lineage: Eukaryota; Metazoa; Chordata; Crocodylia; Gavialidae
Exons: 3
Source: RefSeq, a predicted model, not a curated record